CUUCAUUCAGUUAUUGUAAUCGUUCUUUGUGUUAAGCAUGGAUGGUUCAUGGGGAAUUGUGCUUCUAAAUAGCCUGAAAUCCCCUGAGAAAAACGGAGAACAACGAACUAAUAUGUGAUACUUCAUAACCUGAGGGUAAUCUGGUAUAGAUCAACGAAUUUCCAAGAGAUUUCGCUGAGGUCUAACCUCCUGAAAACCUAACCUAACUGAUGAUGAAGUGCUGUACUUAUAAAUUAUUAGCACGAGAUGUCAAUAUUGCCUUGUAAAUUUGGUGUAAUUAAAGCUUAUUUAUAAAUUU
This is a long non-coding RNA of Actinia tenebrosa (Australian red waratah sea anemone), 298 nucleotides long. RefSeq lists it as uncharacterized. Lineage: Eukaryota; Metazoa; Cnidaria; Anthozoa; Actiniaria; Actiniidae. The record is from RefSeq and is a predicted model, not a curated record.